RNAcentral lists this ribosomal RNA (301 nucleotides) under uncultured bacterium. Its description in RNAcentral is "partial 16S ribosomal RNA". It matches the Rfam family "Bacterial small subunit ribosomal RNA", at positions 509 to 807 of the family's 1533-position model. The record is from RNAcentral.
CAGUAGCCGCGGUAAUACGAACCGUGCGAACGUUAUUCGGAAUUACUGGGCUUAAAGCGCGUGUAGGCGGGCCGCCACGUCGGUUGCUGAAAUCCCCCGGCUCAACCGGGGAAGUGGCAUCGAUACGAGCGGCCUUGAGGGGGGUAGGGGGAUCUGGAACUUCCGGUGGAGCGGUGAAAUGCGUUGAGAUCGGAAGGAACGCCCGUGGCGAAAGCGAGGUCCUGGACCCUUUCUGACGCUGAGACGCGAAAGCCAGGGGAGCGAACGGGAUUAGAUACCCCUGUAGUCCCUGUCUCUUAUA